AUUGAACGCUGGCGGCAUGCUUUACACAUGCAAGUCGAACGGUAACAGGUUAAGCUGACGAGUGGCGAACGGGUGAGUAAUGCAUCGGAACGUGCCCGAUCGUGGGGGAUAACACUUCGAAAGAAGUGCUAAUACCGCAUACGAUCUGAGGAUGAAAGCGGGGGACCGUAAGGCCUCGUGCGAUCGGAGCGGCCGAUGUCAGAUUAGGUAGUUGGUGGGGUAGAGGCUCACCAAGCCGACGAUCUGUAGCUGGUCUGAGAGGACGACCAGCCACACUGGGACUGAGACACGGCCCAGACUCCUACGGGAGGCAGCAGUGGGGAAUUUUGGACAAUGGGCGCAAGCCUGAUCCAGCAAUGCCGCGUGCAGGAAGAAGGCCUUCGGGUUGUAAACUGCUUUUGUACGGAGCGAAAAGGCUCCCUCUAAUACAGGGGGCUCAUGACGGUACCGUAAGAAUAAGCACCGGCUAACUACGUGCCAGCAGCCGCCGUAA
RNAcentral lists this ribosomal RNA (493 nucleotides) under uncultured bacterium. RNAcentral describes it as "partial 16S ribosomal RNA". It matches the Rfam family "Bacterial small subunit ribosomal RNA", at positions 30 to 523 of the family's 1533-position model. The record is from RNAcentral.